Molecule: long non-coding RNA, 1917 nt
Filed under: Homo sapiens (human)
Lineage: Eukaryota; Metazoa; Chordata; Mammalia; Primates; Hominidae
Description: HSALNT0207649
Source: RNAcentral
GUACUGUGAGUGCUCACCUGAUUUUUAGCUCUUAGGAAGAUGCUUUUUUCUGUGUAGUUGUUUGUUAACUUAGUAUCCUUGUGGUAGGGGUAGGAGGAUGAUCUGUGGAGUUUUCUGUUCUGCCGUCUUGUCUCACCUCCCUCCUAAAAAAAUAUUCUUAAAUGAGAUUGUAAUGUUUAUAUGAACUUGCACGAAGACAGACGUCUUGUGCACUUGGUGAAAAAUGAGAUUCACACAUCUGUUUCUUAAAAUACCUUUUUAAUACAGAUAUAUUAAUAGUAGCAUUUCUAUAAAUUCUAGAGUUACUUAAUAGGAAUUUAUUAAUAUAGACUUACGUGUACACAUGUUUUAUAGAACAUCAUAUGAUCCUUCAAUUCUUAUAUCUGAGUUUAAGCUCUUAAUUUUUUUUUUUUUUUUUGUAAAUUGCCUGCUACUCUAUGGAGUGCAGUUUAGAGAAUGAGCCAAAAUUUGGUGGUAGGGUUUUGUUGGCAGUUAAUUUGUUUUUAUGUAUUUCUGAGAUUUUAGAUUGAAAUACUAAAAGCUUCCAUAGUCUUUUAUUUCCUAGUUUAAAUUUCUUAUAUUUACUUAUAACUAAACCUUUUAUAUUUUUGUUUAGUUUUUAUUUGACACAUAUUAAACUCCUUCUACCAUACAGGGAAAUAAGUUUUAUUUUUAUAGGAAUGUUUAAUAGCCAUUAGGUGUUUAGUUCUUUUUAUCAGAGGAUAUUAUACUAUCCUCAGUUGUCUUUACAGUUUUCAUGCUAGCAAAGGAGUUGGUUACUCUGCUCAUUUUGUUGGCAACUGUUUUAUAGUCACAUCAUCGAAGUCCAAAGGAAAAUGUUUUCAGCAUUGUGUGAAAUAUGAUUUUCAACCACGUAAGGUAGGUAAAAGUAAAUAUUUUCAUAACUCACUUGUUAUGACAGAAUUCUUAACUAUCCUUUUAUGACCUCUGUAGUAUUCUCUUUCACUGGAUUUCCUAUGCUUUUAAUGGUUUUCUCUUAUCCUUGUUUGCAUUUUCUUUUUACUUUUAUGUCUAAUUUUUGUCUUCUGUAAGGUCAGUGCUUUGAUCUCUUGCGUGUAUUUCUCUUACAUUCUCUCAUUAUCUCAGUCUCAUCUGUUCUAUGGCAUUCUUUCAAUAGAUACUUAUUAUUUACUGAGAAUUGGACACCAUUGUAGGCACUAGGGAGUUAUAAAUCUUUGCCUCUUUUUUAAAAAAGUUAAAUGUUAAACCCCCAGAUUAAGCAAUGCACAGAUAGUUUUGUUGGGGAGAUUCACCUAAUCCUAGUAGUUCUGAAUCUUGUUUCCUAAGAGUGGAGGUUUUGUUAAUUUCUGAUGCUUUAAUAAUGCUGGCUUCAAGGAUUUGAAUGUUGCUGUACUGUUAGUUUUGGCUCGUAAAAUAUGUCUUUACUUAAUAUCCCAAAUAAUAGCAAAAACAAGGUCAAAACACAUUUUAAAAACUGCUGUAAAGAGAAAAUGCAGAGAAAUGUGCAACUGUAUAAUUAGAAUUAUAAGAGAUAAUUCAUUCAUAAUCGGGUGGCAUUUUCUAGAGAGAUUUUCCUGCCUGUGUACCGGACUCCAUCUUUGUGUCAGAGUAACAAACCAUCUGAAAGUCCAGAUGAAAGAAAACAAGGACAGAGUGCAUAGCAGUUCCCAUCUCACAUGUUUAAGGCUUUUUUGCCCUUCCAGGUUCAGGGUUCUUUCUUGGGUAUAUGACAGUGAGAUUGUCAACGUUUUAUAGGGCACACUGCCUCCUCCUAACAGAAAUAUCGCCUUACCCUUUGUGAUUAAUGGUACAAUCAUAAUAGAUAUGAUGAAUCCAAACGUGGUGAGGGGGAGGUCUUUAUAUCUUUUUCAUAUCUUUUUUGUUUGUUUUCUUGUAGCUUAUGAUCUGAUGUGUGUCUUGUCAUAUACAGAAAAA